Long non-coding RNA from Vigna unguiculata (cowpea), 482 nucleotides. The record is from RefSeq and is a predicted model, not a curated record. NCBI's taxonomy places the organism in Eukaryota, Viridiplantae, Streptophyta, Magnoliopsida, Fabales, Fabaceae.
UUCCUUCUGUCAUCUCUUCUUCUCUUCGAAUUGGUGUCCUAGAAAAAAAAUUUCCAGACCACGGUUGCGUGCAUCUUGCUUUCGAUAGUGCAUCUCCCUCCUUUUGGUGGUUCCACCUUACUCCUUCUAAUGUUUUGUGCGUCUUCCAGAACUAGGGUUGCGUCUAACGCUUCUUGCCUUCGAGAGUGCGUCUUCCUCCUUCUAGUGUGUGGUGCAUUUUCUAGAACUACUGCUGCAUUUUCAUGCCAGUUGUUCGGUGUUUGUAAUCUUUGCUCAAGAUCCAACACCAGUAGAGCAAUUUGAUGUCUCUCUAGUUUGAGUGAUUAAGAGAGAGCGAAAUGGACUAAAGAGCCCAAGCAACGCAAGAAGGAAUCCCCUAAAAUUAAGCCUCCCAAGCAAGACGAAUACUUCGAAGACAAAAGCAAUUUAGAGGACUUGCGGAGGGUAUUUCAAUACAAGUGGAAUUUCUCUAGCCUGGAAGU